Molecule: ribosomal RNA, 468 nt
Filed under: uncultured bacterium
Lineage: Bacteria
Description: partial 16S ribosomal RNA
Rfam family: Bacterial small subunit ribosomal RNA
Source: RNAcentral
GACGAACGCUGGCGGCGUGCUUAACACAUGCAAGUCGAACGGAAAGGCCCUGCUUUUGUGGGGUGCUCGAGUGGCGAACGGGUGGGUAACACGUGAGUAACCUGCCCUUGACUUUGGGAUAACUUCAGGAAACUGGGGCUAAUACCGGAUAGGAGCUCCUGCUGCAUGGUGGGGGUUGGAAAGUUUCGGCGGUUGGGGAUGGACUCGCGGCUUAUCAGCUUGUUGGUGGGGUAGUGGCUUACCAAGGCUUUGACGGGUAGCCGGCCUGAGAGGGUGACCGGCCACAUUGGGACUGAGAUACGGCCCAGACUCCUACGGGAGGCAGCAGUGGGGAAUAUUGCACAAUGGGCGGAAGCCUGAUGCAGCAACGCCGCGUGCGGGAUGACGGCCUUCGGAUUGUAAACCGCUUUCGCCUGUGACGAAGCGUGAGUGACGGUAAUGGGUAAAGAAGCACCGGCUAACUACGUG